UUUUCUCCGAUGGAAAUAACCACAGCAAAAGACAACCUUCAACAAAGCUUGAGCUGCAGAGUUAGCUGCUGGGAUUAUGAAGGACAACUUACCGCUGGAAAUCUCUACAUAAACAAAGUUUGCAGGCCAGGUGUCCCUCUGUGUCAGAGGCUUACUCACUGCUGCAGGACCCCACUGGUGGAAUUACAAGCCCUACAGCUGAAUAAUAUGUGAAUCAAACGUCUCCCACUGCACACCAAUGUGGUUUUGUACAGCCCAGCAUACCAAGCAGCUGCAAAUAUGGUUAAAUUGGGUUGCCCUGCAGACAGAAGAAGUCCACCUGGCACCGUCAGGAGUGCUGGUGCAGGACAGGUGAAAUACGCGUUCUGGAAGUGCCAAGUGGGGAGCUGCUGAUGGGGCCUCUGAACAGGACCAGGCCAGGAAAGUGGCUCUGGAGCCAGAGGGCAAACAGGAGGCCAAGUGGAAUCACAGAGUCACCCUGACAGGCCUCCUGCACCUCUGUCAUCCCAACUUAAAUCGCAGCAGAAAAAGAUGUGCGGCUUCACAGUGCAAGGGGUGUGCUGUGUGACACAGAGAUGAGACUGUUCCCAACCCAGACAGCUUCUUCCCAGCUGACAUAAACACCCCUCACCUUCUCGAGAAACCUGAGGCUGGAAACAGGCUGGAAACAAGGGAAGUGCCUCAUAAACCUCCAUCCUGAAUGCUCCAGACUGCCAAAACAAAGGGCUGGCAGCCCAGCUGCAAAGAUGCUGUGGGUAACAGCAUCAAUAUCAAGAGGAUUUAAUUCAUAAUCAUGAGAAAACUGAGAACAAUAGCAAAGCCAUGAAGCUCCCUGAAGGGUUUGUCUGAAGAAGCUUUGAUUUCAUCAGUCUUGAGUAUUAUCUAGUUAGAUUUGAGCUGGCUGAGAUACCAGGUCAUUACCGAAAGAAAAACACGAACGGAUGGCACCCUUUCUGCAGAGAAGAAGCCAGAGAGAAUCUUAAGUUCAUUGUCUUUGUGGUGCUUCUUUUUGGGGGCAGCAAGAAAUAGGCCUUUCCCUCUGCUUUUAUUUGUAGAUCUGCCAGAGGAAGGUAAAACUAAGCAUCAGAUGCACUCGAAACAUUCAGAAUCUUUUCUCUCAGCUUUUUGUCUAAAGUCCAAAUUGAUUAAGUGUUGACAAAAGAAAACAUGGUUUUAAGCGGGUGCCUUUCCUUACUGGUCCAUUUCAAAUGAGCUCUGUUGUUGAUGCCUGUAAUGUAAUGGUAUUAGCUCACCCAUUUCUGCACCGCUUCAGAGGAAAAGCCAGGUGGCACUUGGCUUUAUCUGUAAUUAGAAAAACAAUUUGAGGAAAAAAAUAGUUAAUUUCUCUUUUCAAAAGCAGAGAAGAUUUCAGGCCUUCUUUAUUCAUCCCAUUAAAGCCUUCCUCAUCACUGAAAGGAGCACAUUGCGUUUUUUAAAGGGGGAGAGCAAAGGAUCUCCAAAAGGCUCUGUACCUGCAUCAUCAGAUUCAGCUUUUUUCUAUCUUGUCCACGUGUCUUUGAGAACAUGAUUUGGCCUUCCCUAAUGACAUGCAAGUACAAGCACUGAGGAUAAAUGUGACAAGGGCUUUAAGGCCAUCUCCCCAGCUGGUGACCAAGACAGAAGACCAGAAGGAGCAGAGCAUAGUAGUGUAACCCCAUCCCCAGGUGCCUGCAUGCUCCUCUCCUAUUUUUCAAGUAGUGUCAAGUGUCCUGGGGACAAAAAAGCUCACAGCCAUACCAGGGACCUCUGCUGAAUAUACAUUUAGGCAAUAGUCUGCAUUUUAUCUUUAUUCAUAGAAGUAUAAAAUCCUACAAAUCAGGAUUUUUAAUGGGAAUUUUGUUGUAGACAGAUCAGGGCUUUGUUUAACUUUGCAGGAACCAUCCAACUGCACCUCUCUCUUACUAACAGUGGCCAUAAGUGCGAGUCGCUCUGCAGAUUUGAGCCCCUGGAUCAUGGCUUAGACAUUUGGUUUGCCUUAUUUUUCAAAGGAAAAAGCAGUCACUGCAUAGGGGACUGGGAUGUUAUUGUUUUGUUGGAACAAGAAGGAGCAGAAAAGUCCAGUCCCAUUUCUGCGUGACUGGAGUUGUCACUGCUCCCUUGCAGGACAAGUCACACAGUGCAUGUUUACUGGGAAUUUCUGCUGGGGAACACAAAAAAAAACAGGUAUACAGCCACAGAACCCGCUGCUUGGGGCAGCACUGUGGGCAAAAAUGGGGGAGACUUCUUUCCUCUUUUCCUCAGCCUGUUCUCCUGCUCCAGGAAGCACUGUUGGGUGAUAAAAGCAGUUUGCAGGUUCUGUGAUACAGAAACCAAGAUGAUGAAACCAAUUGCCAGCCUUCAGAGCAGGAAAAGGUCCAGCAGAUAUAGCCACAAAGUGGUUGUUAAGGCUUGAGCCUGCGAGGGGGAGGUGAUCAGUGAUCUGCAUCUUACUACAGCAAUAAAUUCCCAGCCACCUAGAGGCUUCAGGUUAGCUUAUUGUUGUUAGAUUAUCAGUAAUAUGAGGAGUGGGGAUGGGCAAUUUAUUAUGUUUGCACCAUGUCCAACAAAAGUUUUGAUAUCUCUAAUUGCUCUUGUAAUAAAAGUGAAGGUGAGCAAUAAAACCAAGCCUUCACUCAGGACUUCAGCACAGCAGCAUGGGGCAUUUGCAUGACAUUUCUUCCCAACGACGGACUUCUCCCAUUCUCCUUCCUCCUUCUAUCACUCCUUGAGCAGAAGAAGAAUCUCCCUUGCCAGUUUGCAGCAUGGAACAAACGACAAAGACAAGCAGUUUGGCCUCUCUGAGAAGCAGUGAUCCAACCAUAACCAUGUGCACGCACAGUUGCAAUAGCUUUCUGCAACCAGUUUGUCACUAAGCUGUGAGGAGCAUCUCGCAUGUCAGCUUGUCAGAGUUCCCUUAGAAAGUUAAAUGGUGCACACUCUAAUUGUAAUUGGAUGCAAAUUAAAAUAUCACUCAUGAGAGGACUGAAAUCCUGGAAGGGCAGAUUGCAUGCAUUAAGCCUCAGGAUUUGAAAAAUGUCAGAGAAUAUGUUGUUCCUUUUUAGAGUUUGCUUCUGUCCUCUGCCACCCUGGCAAAGUGAAUAAAUCAAUCUCUUCCCCCUUCCUGGAAAGUGAAAUGGGGAGGUUCAACAUCUGCUGAUGAAGAGCAUUUGAGUCAUUCACAAUCUGCUGACUGGAGCUGCUCAGUCCAAAGUCUGAAAGGCUUUUCAAUGUAACAACAGGAUCAGGGAAGGCCAUCUCAGAGAUGCCAGGCCUGGCACCCCGAGCAGAACUCUCAUCAGAGAGAAAGGGAGAUGGAGGGCUGCCCUUCUGUGACAGGCAUCCCCCAAACACAGCCAUCCCUUCAGCAAUAAAAGGGAAUUUGCGACAUCUGGUAUUUCCUGUGGGAAGCAGAACAAUCCUGCUUAGCAAACAACGACAAGCCACACCGGCUUGUGCGGCCCUGGAAUAGGUGUAAAAUGUGGAGAGGUGCAAAACUGGCACCUGUGAAAGACGGAUGUGCUCUGAACAAGGCCCCUCCUUAAUUACAGCUGCCACUUUACAACCUGGAGAGAUUGCUAACAGGGACAAUUCUCAGUGGCAGUUGUUUUUAAGCUGCCUUCCAGAUGCUCUCUAAGCCUGGCCAUCCCCAGGCUUGCAAUCAAGGCUCUCACUUUCCCUGUAAGUGCAUGGAGCUCCCGGGGUGAGGGCUGGGGGCCCUGUGGGGUGCCACUGCCCUCCCCACCACAGAGGAUGGCCCAGUGACCCCUUCAGUUUAGUUCUGACUUCAUUCUUCCCAGAGUUAGCAUGUCGAGGUUUUUAGAAGAAAUGCACUGCCUUUUUUAUUUAUUUUUUUUCCUGUGGAAAAUCCUGCACUGAAGCAAUUUGUGGUCAAAGCUAAGAAAAGUUUAAGCUGUCCCUGGAAGACACUGGUGAUCGAUGCAAUAAUAAGUCUGUUCUCAUUAAGGCUAUGCACAAAGACAGUCUUAUAUUGACUUUUCCCAUGAAAAUUUCUGUUAUGAUUCCUAUAAAUGUGCUUUGGGGAUACCAAGCAUCUGUGUUCUUCCUGUGCCCCCAGCACAAGAAGGCCCCAGGGAAGCCUUACAGCGGCCUUCCCGUACCUAAAGGCAGCUGCAGGAGAGCUGGGGAGGGACUCUUUGUCAGGGGGUGUGGUGACAAGACAAGGGGGAAUGGCCUUAAACUAAAAGAGAAGUAGGUUUAGAUUAGAUAUAAGGAAAAUAUUCUUCACUCAGAGGGCAGUGAGGCCCUGGCACAGGCUGCCCAUAGAAGCUGUGGUGGCCCCAUGCCUCGAGGUGCCCAAGGCCAGGCUGGAUGGGGCUGGGGGCAGCCUGCUCUGGUGGGAGGUGUCCCUGCCCAUGGCAGGGGGCUGGAAUUAGAUGGACUUUAAGGUCCCCUUACCUGGUCUUCAGCAGUUUCUUUGCUUUCCUACCAUCCCGCCACAGCGCCGCAGAAUUCACUCCUCCUGUUGUGUGAUGUGUAAGCAGGACACCCCAUGCUGCAUCAUCUGUGCCAGUGUUUGGGGGUACUUAGUGCUGUUUUUGGGCUGAACCCAUGAUUUCUGUUUGGGGCUGAAGCAGUAUUGUCUUCCCCCUGAAGCAAUAUUGUCUUUUGGGACAGUGCUCACAGUGGCCAGGUGUCACAACAGCUUCCUGGUUCUGUACUGCGGCUUAUUGAUGGGCCCAUGGGGUUAUAAAGCUGGAAGGUAGCAGCGAAUGUCUCCCCACAGCCUGUACACAGACAUCUUGUGGGGUGGUGAGGACCAGUCUCUGAACAUUAAGCAUUCUGAUCACUGGGAAAAGGUUUUUUUCCCACCUCGCUGGAAGCACCCAUCUCUGUGGGUGUCUCAGCUCCUUGCAUCACCCUGGAAUCUGGAAAUGGGUACAGGCAGAGGGCAAUAGCUUUACAGCUUGCCUUUUUGCUGCCAUCAGGGCUAAACAUAUCCAUUCACUUUUCGUAGGCUAGGAUAUGUAUUCAGAGGUAGUGCCAGUUUCCAAACUCAUCUC
Molecule: long non-coding RNA, 5000 nt
Organism: Anas platyrhynchos (mallard)
Lineage: Eukaryota; Metazoa; Chordata; Aves; Anseriformes; Anatidae
Source: RefSeq, a predicted model, not a curated record